Molecule: ribosomal RNA, 465 nt
Filed under: uncultured bacterium
Lineage: Bacteria
Description: partial 16S ribosomal RNA
Rfam family: Bacterial small subunit ribosomal RNA
Source: RNAcentral
GACGAACGCUGGCGGCGUGCUUAACACAUGCAAGUCGAACGGAAAGGCCCCUUUGGGGGUACUCGAGUGGCGAACGGGUGCGUAACACGUGAGUAACCUGCCCUUGACUUCGGGAUAACUUCAGGAAACUGGGGCUAAUACCGGAUAGGAAUCCUUGCUGCAUGGUGGGGGUUGGAAAGCUUCGGCGGUUUUGGAUGGACUCGCGGCUUAUCAGCUUGUUGGUGGGGUAGUGGCUUACCAAGGCUUUGACGGGUAGCCGGCCUGAGAGGGCGACCGGCCACAUUGGGACUGAGAUACGGCCCAGACUCCUACGGGAGGCAGCAGUGGGGAAUAUUGCACAAUGGGCGGAAGCCGGAUGCAGCAACGCCGCGGGCGGGAGGACGGCCUUCGGGUUGUAAACCGCUUUCAGCAGGGGCGAAGCUUGUGGUGACGGUACCUGCAGAAGAAGCACCGGCUAACUACGUG